AAAUUGAAGAGUUUGAUCAUGGCUCAGAUUGAACGCUGGCGGCAGGCCUAACACAUGCAAGUCGAACGGUAACAGAAAGCAGCUUGCUGCUUUGCUGACGAGUGGCGGACGGGUGAGUAAUGUCUGGGAAACUGCCUGAUGGAGGGGGAUAACUACUGGAAACGGUAGCUAAUACCGCAUAA
Molecule: ribosomal RNA, 182 nt
Filed under: Escherichia coli
Lineage: Bacteria; Pseudomonadati; Pseudomonadota; Gammaproteobacteria; Enterobacterales; Enterobacteriaceae
Description: partial 16S ribosomal RNA
Rfam family: Bacterial small subunit ribosomal RNA
Source: RNAcentral